Molecule: ribosomal RNA, 273 nt
Filed under: uncultured bacterium
Lineage: Bacteria
Description: partial 16S ribosomal RNA
Rfam family: Bacterial small subunit ribosomal RNA
Source: RNAcentral
AACGAACGCUGGCGGCAGGCCUAACACAUGCAAGUCGAACGCCGUAGCAAUACGGAGUGGCAGACGGGUGAGUAACACGUGGGAACGUACCCUUCGGUUCGGAAUAACUCAGGGAAACGUUAGAGCUAAUACCGGAUACGUCCGAGAGGAGAAAGAUUUAUCGCCGAGGGAUCGGCCCGCGUCUGAUUAGCUUGUUGGUGAGGUAACGGCUCACCAAGGCGACGAUCAGUAGCUGGCUGAGAGGAUGAUCAGCCACCAUUGGGUACGUGAGAC